This 497-nucleotide ribosomal RNA is filed under the name uncultured bacterium. RNAcentral's name for it is "partial 16S ribosomal RNA". It matches the Rfam family "Bacterial small subunit ribosomal RNA", at positions 28 to 507 of the family's 1533-position model. The record is from RNAcentral.
GAUGAACGCUGGCGGCGUGCCUAAUACAUGCAAGUCGAGCGAACAGACGAGGAGCUUGCUCCUCUGACGUUAGCGGCGGACGGGUGAGUAACACGUGGAUAACCUACCUAUAAGACUGGGAUAACUUCGGGAAACCGGAGCUAAUACCGGAUAAUAUAUUGAACCGCAUGGUUCAAUAGUGAAAGACGGUUUUGCUGUCACUUAUAGAUGGAUCCGCGCCGCAUUAGCUAGUUGGUAAGGUAACGGCUUACCAAGGCAACGAUGCGUAGCCGACCUGAGAGGGUGAUCGGCCACACUGGAACUGGGACACGGUCCAGACUCCUACGGGAGGCAGCAGUAGGGAAUCUUGCGCAAUGGGCGAAAGCCUGACGGAGCAACGCCGCGUGAGUGAUGAAGGUCUUCGGAUCGUAAAACUCUGUUAUUAGGGAAGAACAAAUGUGUAAGUAACUAUGCACGUCUUGACGGUACCUAAUCAGAAAGCCACGGCUAACUACGUG